RNAcentral lists this ribosomal RNA (912 nucleotides) under Triticum aestivum (bread wheat). RNAcentral's name for it is "partial small subunit ribosomal RNA". The record is from RNAcentral. Lineage: Eukaryota; Viridiplantae; Streptophyta; Magnoliopsida; Poales; Poaceae.
AUGCAUGAACUUGAGCGCAGCAGGUGGCCAUGGCGGCACCCUGGACAUGUUGGCGCUCUACAGUCCACGCCCCACCGGCGACGGCAGAAUAGUCUACACCGACAUGAUGGGCAACGCCGACGGACAUGUCCACACCGCGCUGAGCCGCCUCAACCCAUGUGCCUGUCCAUCGCGCAACCUGACGCGGACAAAGAAGACAGCCUGUAUGUCCUGGAUGCGUACCCCGGGAAGGGCGAUGAUGGGUGCUUCGAGGUCCUUGAGCGCACGCCCAGAAGAUUUAGGUGCAGGAUGAUGCCGCAAUGGCACUGGCGACUUGUUCCGCCGCCUCCCUUUGUCAGCCACCGGUCAGCCUUUAUCACCUCCUUUACCACCAUGGUCGACGGCGACGGCUGCUCGACCAUCUACAUAUCAUGCGCCGGCGCUGGCGGCGUCGAUGUCGGCACCUACAGCUACGAGACGCCGCGGCAGGAGUACAGGGAGCCUCGAGGAUGGCGCCACGUCGGGGAAUGGAUGCUGCCCUUUCGCGGCAGAGCUCACUACGCCCCUGAGUUCAACCUGUGGUUUGGCUUCUCGGCCUCGAGCCCCAACGAUCACCUGUGCGCCACGGACCUCUCUGCCAUGGACGGUGGACGGCAGCCCUCCGAGCCCACGGUAUGGGAAGAUCUGAACCCGCCUGCACAGGGAGAGCCGUGGCUUCCAAAGCAGCUCGAGCUUCUCCAACUGGGCGGCCGCAAGUUUCUCAUCGCAAAGACCUUUACGGAAGGAGAAAGAGGUGGGUAUUUUUCUGUGCUCACCGGCGUAGAGAUGAUGGCGUGCGCCGCCGGUGAUCACCGGCAGCAGACCCUUGAGAUGGUCAAGCACAAGUGCGCACGUUUUGUCUUCACGGAUGAGCACAUCGAGCGGGUGCUCUGA